AUGGCGGGAGAAUUUGGCGCCAUCCGCUCCACUUCCCGCCCCGCCGCGUCCCUAUUUAUCGUCCCCCGCCGCAGCCUCAACGCCUCUCCUUGUCUCUCUCGCCGCCGGCCACCGAGAACCCUGCUCUCCGUCGUCGCAAUGGCCGCCACCAACGGCGCCGGUGCUGACCCCGUGCACGAGCCACCCCACAAGAUCACCAAGAUGGCCCCCCUGCUCAAGGUCAAGAAGCUCUCCGACAAGGCCAUCCUGCCGUCCCGCGGCUCCGCCCUCGCCGCCGGCUACGACCUCUCCAGCGCGGUGGAGACGGUCGUGCCGGCGAGGGGCAAGGCGCUGGUGGCCACCGACCUGAGCAUCGCCAUCCCGGAGGGCACCUACGCGCGCAUCGGUGAGUCCCUCUUCUUUUUUCUCGGAUCACGUUUCUUGGCUGCGCGUCGGGUGUUUGACGAAAUGCUCACCGCCUCGUUCGUGUUCUUUGCAGCGCCGAGGUCGGGCCUGGCGCUGAAGCACUCCAUCGACGUGGGCGCCGGGGUGAUCGACGCUGACUACCGCGGCCCCGUGGGUGUCGUGCUCUUCAACCAUUCGGAGGUGGACUUUGCCGUGAAGCCCGGUGACCGCGUCGCGCAGAUGAUCAUCCAGGUGAUUACGACGCCAGAGAUCGCCGAGGUGGAGGACCUCGACGCCACCGUCCGUGGGGAGGGAGGGUUUGGGUCCACCGGCGUUUGA
This 723-nucleotide ribosomal RNA is filed under the name Triticum aestivum (bread wheat). RNAcentral's name for it is "partial small subunit ribosomal RNA". Lineage: Eukaryota; Viridiplantae; Streptophyta; Magnoliopsida; Poales; Poaceae. The record is from RNAcentral.